This is a non-coding RNA of Rattus norvegicus (Norway rat), 320 nucleotides long. Lineage: Eukaryota; Metazoa; Chordata; Mammalia; Rodentia; Muridae. The record is from Rfam.
GGAUGUGAGGUAAAUCUGACUGUGACAUCUGUCACUCCAUUGAUCGCUAGGGUUGAAUGGGCUGAUCUGGCUGGCUAGGCAGGGGUCCCCUUUCCCCCUCACCACUCCAUGUGCAUCCUUCUCAAACCUGCAUGCUAGGUCAAAGAGAACCUUCCUGGAAAAGAGGAGGACCAGUCUUUGGUCAAGGGUGCAUGAGUAGCUGCACUCCCUUGGUAGAAUCUCCAAACAAGUCCACUUCUACUUUCAGGUCCUCAUUAUAUUUAUGGUUCUAUGUAUCUAUAAAGUCCAGGAAUUAGAAAUGAGACGUGUCUCUGAGACUU